AGAGUUUGAUCCUGGCUCAGGAUGAACGCUGGCGGCGUGCUUAACACAUGCAAGUCGAACGGGAAACAUUUUAUUGAAGCUUCGGCAGAUUUAGCUUGUUUCUAGUGGCGGACGGGUGAGUAACGCGUGGGUAACCUGCCUUAUACUGGGGGAUAACAGCCAGAAAUGACUGCUAAUACCGCAUAAGCGCACAGAACCGCAUGGUUCGGUGUGAAAAACUCCGGUGGUAUAAGAUGGACCCGCGUUGGAUUAGCUAGUUGGCAGGGCAGCGGCCUACCAAGGCGACGAUCCAUAGCCGGCCUGAGAGGGUGAACGGCCACAUUGGGACUGAGACACGGCCCAGACUCCUACGGGAGGCAGCAGUGGGGAAUAUUGCACAAUGGGGGAAACCCUGAUGCAGCGACGCCGCGUGAAGGAAGAAGUAUCUCGGUAUGUAAACUUCUAUCAGCAGGGAAGAUAAUGACGGUACCUGACUAAGAAGCCCCGGCUAACUACGUGCCAGCAGCCGCGGUAAUACGUAGGGGGCAAGCGUUAUCCGGAUUUACUGGGUGUAAAGGGAGCGUAGACGGCGCAGCAAGUCUGAUGUGAAAGGCAGGGGCUUAACCCCUGGACUGCAUUGGAAACUGCUGUGCUUGAGUGCCGGAGGGGUAAGCGGAAUUCCUAGUGUAGCGGUGAAAUGCGUAGAUAUUAGGAGGAACACCAGUGGCGAAGGCGGCUUACUGGACGGUAACUGACGUUGAGGCUCGAAAGCGUGGGGAGCAAACAGAAUUAGAUACCCUGGUAGUCCACGCCGUAAACGAUGA
RNAcentral lists this ribosomal RNA (803 nucleotides) under uncultured bacterium. Its description in RNAcentral is "bacterial SSU rRNA". It matches the Rfam family "Bacterial small subunit ribosomal RNA", at positions 8 to 812 of the family's 1533-position model. The record is from RNAcentral.